Molecule: non-coding RNA, 205 nt
Organism: Oryza meridionalis
Lineage: Eukaryota; Viridiplantae; Streptophyta; Magnoliopsida; Poales; Poaceae
Source: Rfam
AGUAAGUGCAGCUAUGAAUUUUCGUGUCCAACUUUAAUCGUCCAUCUUAUUUAAAUUUUUUUUAUGAUUAGUAUUUUUAUUGUUAUUAGAUUAUAGAAUGUGAAUAGUAUUUUAUGCGUGACUUACUUUUUUAGUUUUUUUUAAAAAAAUAUGAAAUAAAACGAACGAUUAAAGUUGGACACGAAAACUUAUAGCUGCACUUAUU